This 488-nucleotide ribosomal RNA is filed under the name uncultured bacterium. RNAcentral describes it as "bacterial SSU rRNA". It matches the Rfam family "Bacterial small subunit ribosomal RNA", at positions 30 to 511 of the family's 1533-position model. The record is from RNAcentral.
AUUGAACGCUGGCGGCAUGCCUUACACAUGCAAGUCGAACGGCAGCGCGGGGCAACCUGGCGGCGAGUGGCGAACGGGUGAGUAACAUAUCGGAACAUACCCUAGAGUGGGGAUAACGUAGCGAAAGUUACGCUAAUACCGCAUACGCACUAAGGUGGAAAGUGGGGGAUUCGCAAGAACCUCAUGCUCAUGGAGUGGCCGAUAUCUGAUUAGCUAGUUGGUGAGGUAAUGGCUCACCAAGGCGACGAUCCGUAACUGGUCUGAGAGGAUGAUCAGUCACACUGGAACUGAGACACGGUCCAGACUCCUACGGGAGGCAGCAGUGGGGAAUAUUGGACAAUGGGCGAAAGCCUGAUCCAGCCAUGCCGCGUGUGUGAAGAAGGUCUUCGGAUUGUAAAGCACUUUAAGUUGGGAGGAAGGGUAGUAACCUAAUACGUUGCUACUUUGACGUUACCGACAGAAUAAAGCACCGGCUAACUUCGUGCCAG